GCCCAAAUUCCUUUCAGUUAAAAGCUUGGUGGCUCUCACUAUGGUCAGUUAGGACAGGGAGAACAGUUAGGGGCCAGAGUUCCAAUUCUUCCUUGUUUUUAAAGUGCGUUUCUAAAGGGGAUUUGUUAAGACUGGGAGACUCCAUUAGUUUCAUCUUCUCGGGUCCAGUCCUGCCGCAUGGAGCUACCCCUUGGGAUUCUAACCAGGAUGCCACUCCUCUCCCUUCUCAGGGCCUAAAGCUGAGGACCAGGUGAUGGGCCAUUUAGAAGCCCCCAAGACCUUUCUGGAGGAGAGACGACGACGGGUUCUGAAGAAGGCCCCGUCUUCCCGAGCUUUCUACACCUGCACGGGGGAGAGGUGCGGGCGUUGUUGGCCUGUGUGAUGGUUUGGGUGAGAACCUUUGUCUUAGGAAUCCCAGGCUCACCUGAAUCCGCUGCAGGAAUUUCUGAGCUUCCCAAUAAAAAGAAAACAAAUCCGAAUUUGAGAAAGUAA
This is a long non-coding RNA of Felis catus (domestic cat), 492 nucleotides long. RefSeq lists it as uncharacterized. The record is from RefSeq and is a predicted model, not a curated record. The transcript is spliced from 2 exons. Lineage: Eukaryota; Metazoa; Chordata; Mammalia; Carnivora; Felidae.